CAUGCAAGUCGAACGAGGUGGACCCAAAAUAUUAAUGAAGUUUGAAGUGCUUGCACUGAUUCUGAUUAUUGGCUUGGAUUUCCACUAGUGGCGGACGGGUGAGUAACACGUGGGUGACCUGCCUUGAGUCUGGGAUAACUAUUAGAAAUGAUAGCUAAUACCGGAUUAUAUGUAGAUUCGUUUCUACAUUAAAAGGAGCCUUUAAAGCUUCGCUCUUAGAUGGGCCUGCGGUGUAUUAGCUAGUUGGUGAGGUAAUGGCUCACCAAGGCAACGAUGCAUAGCCGAACUGAGAGGUUGAUCGGCCACAUUGGGACUGAGACACGGCCCAAACUCCUACGGGAGACAGCAGUUAGGAAUAUUCGUCAAUGGGGGAAACCCUGAACGAGCAAUGCCGCGUGAACGAUGAAGGCCCUAUGGGUUGUAAAGUUCUGUUGUAUGGGAAGAACGACUAGGAUAGGAAAUGAUCUUAGUGUGACGGUACCAUACCAGAAAGCUCCGGCUAACUACGUGCCAGCAGCCGC
Molecule: ribosomal RNA, 521 nt
Filed under: uncultured bacterium
Lineage: Bacteria
Description: bacterial SSU rRNA
Rfam family: Bacterial small subunit ribosomal RNA
Source: RNAcentral